AUUGAACGCUGGCGGCAGGCCUAACACAUGCAAGUCGAACGGUAACAGGAAGAAGCUUGCUUCUUUGCUGACGAGUGGCGGACGGGUGAGUAAUGUCUGGGAAACUGCCUGACGGAGGGGGAUAACUACUGGAGACGGUAGCUAAUACCGCAUAACGUCGCAAGACCAAAGAGGGGGACCUUCGGGCCUCUUGCCAUCGGAUGUGCCCAGAUGGGAUUAGCUAGUAGGUGGGGUAACGGCUCACCUAGGCGACGAUCCCUAGCUGGUCUGAGAGGAUGACCAGCCACACUGGAACUGAGACACGGUCCAGACUCCUACGGGAGGCAGCAGUGGGGAAUAUUGCACAAUGGGCGCAAGCCUGAUGCAGCCAUGCCGCGUGUAUGAAGAAGGCCUUCGGGUUGUAAAGUACUUUCAGCGGGGAGGAAGGGAGUAAAGUUAAUACCUUUGCUCAUUGACGUUACCCGCAGAAGAAGCACCGGCUAACUCCGUG
RNAcentral lists this ribosomal RNA (490 nucleotides) under uncultured bacterium. RNAcentral's name for it is "partial 16S ribosomal RNA". It matches the Rfam family "Bacterial small subunit ribosomal RNA", at positions 30 to 507 of the family's 1533-position model. The record is from RNAcentral.